CCAGAGUAUCAAUUGGAGGGCAAGUCUGGUGCCAGCAGCCGCGGUAAUUCCAGCUCCAAUAGCGUAUAUUAAAGUUGUUGCAGUUAAGAAGCUCGUAGUUGAAUUUCUGCCUUGUCAUUAAUCUCGCUUCCGAGCGUUUUUUUAUUGACUUGGCAUCUUCUGGAUUUGGUGCCUUCGGGUACUAUUUUCCAGGAUUUACUUUGAGAAAACUAGAGUGUUUCAAACAGGCAUUCGCCUUGAAUACUACAGCAUGGAAUAAUGAAGUAGGACUUUGGUUCUAUUUUGUUGGUUAUUGAGCCAGAGUAAUGGUUAAUAGGAGCAGUUGGGGGCAUUCGUAUUUAACUGUCAGAGGUGAAAUUCUUAGAUUUGUUAAAGACGAACUACUGCGAAAGCAUUUGCCAAGGAUGUUUUCAUUAAUCAAGAACGAAAGUUAGGGGAUCGAAGACGAUCAGAUACCGUCGUAGUCCUA
This 469-nucleotide ribosomal RNA is filed under the name Babesia microti. Its description in RNAcentral is "SSU rRNA". It matches the Rfam family "Eukaryotic small subunit ribosomal RNA", at positions 536 to 1028 of the family's 1831-position model. The record is from RNAcentral. Lineage: Eukaryota; Apicomplexa; Aconoidasida; Piroplasmida; Babesiidae.